GACGAACGCUGGCGGCGUGCCUAAUACAUGCAAGUAGAACGCACAGUUUAUACCGUAGCUUGCUACACCAUAGACUGUGAGUUGCGAACGGGUUAGUAACGCGUAGGUAACCUGCCUGGUAGCGGGGGAUAACUAUUGGAAACGAUAGCUAAUACCGCAUAAUAUUGAUUAUUGCAUGAUAAUUGAUUGAAAGAUGCUAUUGCAUCACUACCAGAUGGACCUGCGUUGUAUUAGCUAGUAGGUGAGGUAACGGCUCACCUAGGCGACGAUACAUAGCCGACCUGAGAGGGUGAUCGGCCACACUGGGACUGAGACACGGCCCAGACUCCUACGGGAGGCAGCAGUAGGGAAUCUUCGGCAAUGGACGAAAGUCUGACCGAGCAACGCCGCGUGAGUGAAGAAGGUUUUCGGAUCGUAAAGCUCUGUUGUAAGAGAAGAACGGGUGUGAGAGUGGAAAGUUCACACUGUGACGGUAUCUUACCAGAAAGGGACGGCUAACUACGUG
Molecule: ribosomal RNA, 505 nt
Filed under: uncultured bacterium
Lineage: Bacteria
Description: partial 16S ribosomal RNA
Rfam family: Bacterial small subunit ribosomal RNA
Source: RNAcentral